GGCAUGGUAAAAUCCAUCCUUACAGUACAUUGCAUUGUUAAAAUCGACUGGUUUACAUAAGCUAAGCAGGGUAGGGCUGGGUUAAUCCCUGGAUGGGAGACCACAUAGGACAAUGUGGUUGCUGUGGUU
Molecule: ribosomal RNA, 129 nt
Filed under: Hucho hucho (huchen)
Lineage: Eukaryota; Metazoa; Chordata; Actinopteri; Salmoniformes; Salmonidae
Source: RNAcentral